GCAGCGAUCGCAAAGCAAUUCAUAAAAAGUGUUUUUUUUUUGUUGCGAAUAUUACGUAUUUUGCUACAUUUUAUUUGAAAAUAUGUCAAUAAUACGUGAGAUAGAGGAGUUAGUGAACCAUCAAAUUUAAAAUAACGGAACUAGUACUCAGGAUGUGUUGUUUCUGUGUUGCUUUUUCAAAUAACUCUAUGGCUCGAUGUGUGGCACCCGGAUGCGUGAGUGUUUAGCCAUUAUGAAAACAUAUCCCACAAAUGAUCAUUCCAUCGAUCCCCAAGGGAUGUGACUAUUCGGAAGAAAUGGCUCCGAUUCUUUGGACAGGACCUAAACAGCAAUACUAAACACAUGUACAUUUGCUCGCUUCACUUCAGUCCAGACUGUUUCAUUCAUAUCGAUGGCUUGGAAGUACAAUAUCGACCAAAUCUGAUACAAAGAGCUGUUCCUACUGUCAGAAAGGCCAACGCUUCUCAUGCCUCGGGAAAUCAAAACGGACGGCUCGUCGAAAGGUCUUGAUUGACAUUAAGCAAGAGUAAAAAAUGGGUGGGUUAUAACUAUGAUAUAACCGCAAGGUUGACGUGGGACUACCUUAGCUUAGCAAUCAUUUGUUUGUAUUGAUUUAAUUUUUGAUUGAAUGAAACAAUUUCCGAAUUCAAUUGAAUUCAAUAUAUUUACUUUGUGAG
Molecule: long non-coding RNA, 677 nt
Organism: Toxorhynchites rutilus septentrionalis
Lineage: Eukaryota; Metazoa; Arthropoda; Insecta; Diptera; Culicidae
Exons: 3
Source: RefSeq, a predicted model, not a curated record